CCUACGGGAGGCAGCAGUGGGGAAUAUUGGGCAAUGGGCGAAAGCCUGACCCAGCGACGCCGCGUGAGGGACGAAGGCCUUCGGGUUGUAAACCUCUUUCAGCAGGGAAGAAGCGAAAGUGACGGUACCUGCAGAAGAAGCACCGGCUAACUACGUGCCAGCAGCCGCGGUAAUACGUAGGGUGCAAGCGUUGUCCGGAAUUAUUGGGCGUAAAGAGCUCGUAGGUGGUUUGCCACGUCGGAUGUGAAAACCUGAGGCUUAACCUCAGGCCUGCAUUCGAUACGGGCAGACUAGAGUGUGGUAGGGGAGACUGGAAUUCCUGGUGUAGCGGUGAAAUGCGCAGAUAUCAGGAGGAACACCGGUGGCGAAGGCGGGUCUCUGGGCCAUAACUGACACUGAGGAGCGAAAGCGUGGGGAGCAAACAGGAUUAGAUACCCUGGUAGUCCACGCCGUAAACGGUGGGCACUAGAUGUGGGGACCUUCCACGGUCUCUGCGUCGCNGCUACGCAUAAGUGCCCGCCCGUCGGGGUAGGUACGGCCGCGACGGACGUAAACCUACAAACGAAGUAGACGGCGUGAGACGUGCCGACGACGACGACGAGGGAGUAGG
Molecule: ribosomal RNA, 610 nt
Filed under: uncultured bacterium
Lineage: Bacteria
Description: bacterial SSU rRNA
Rfam family: Bacterial small subunit ribosomal RNA (bases 1-521)
Source: RNAcentral